This 496-nucleotide ribosomal RNA is filed under the name uncultured bacterium. RNAcentral describes it as "partial 16S ribosomal RNA". It matches the Rfam family "Bacterial small subunit ribosomal RNA", at positions 30 to 523 of the family's 1533-position model. The record is from RNAcentral.
AUUGAACGCUGGCGGAAUGCUUUACACAUGCAAGUCGAACGGUAGAGGGGGCAACCCCUCGAGAGUGGCGAACGGGUGAGUAAUAUAUCGGAACGUGCCCAGUCGUGGGGGAUAACGUAGCGAAAGUUACGCUAAUACCGCAUACGAUCUAAGGAUGAAAGAGGGGGAUCGCAAGACCUCGCGUGAUUGGAGCGGCCGAUAUCAGAUUAGGUAGUUGGUGGGGUAAAGGCUCACCAAGCCAACGAUCUGUAGCUGGUCUGAGAGGACGACCAGCCACACUGGAACUGAGACACGGUCCAGACUCCUACGGGAGGCAGCAGUGGGGAAUUUUGGACAAUGGACGCAAGUCUGAUCCAGCCAUUCCGCGUGCAGGAUGAAGGCCCUCGGGUUGUAAACUGCUUUUGUACGGAACGAAAAGGUCUCUCUUAAUACGGGGGGCUCAUGACGGUACCGUAAGGAUAAGCACCGGCUAACUACGUGCCAGCAGCCGCCGCCG